AUUGAACGCUGGCGGCAUGCCUUACACAUGCAAGUCGAACGGCAGCGGGGGUAGCUUGCUACCUGCCGGCGAGUGGCGAACGGGUGAGUAAUACAUCGGAACGUGCCCUGUAGUGGGGGAUAACUAGUCGAAAGACUAGCUAAUACCGCAUACGACCUGAGGGUGAAAGUGGGGGACCGCAAGGCCUCAUGCUAUAGGAGCGGCCGAUGUCUGAUUAGCUAGUUGGUGGGGUAAAGGCCCACCAAGGCGACGAUCAGUAGCUGGUCUGAGAGGACGAUCAGCCACACUGGGACUGAGACACGGCCCAGACUCCUACGGGAGGCAGCAGUGGGGAAUUUUGGACAAUGGGGGCAACCCUGAUCCAGCAAUGCCGCGUGUGUGAAGAAGGCCUUCGGGUUGUAAAGCACUUUUGUCCGGAAAGAAAUCGCUUCGGUUAAUACCUGGGGUGGAUGACGGUACCGGAAGAAUAAGGACCGGCUAACUACGUGCCAGCAGCCGCGGUAAUACGUAGGGUCCAAGCGUUAAUCGGAAUUACUGGGCGUAAAGCGUGCGCAGGCGGUUGUGCAAGACCGAUGUGAAAUCCCCGGGCUUAACCUGGGAAUUGCAUUGGUGACUGCACAGCUAGAGUGUGUCAGAGGGAGGUAGAAUUCCACGUGUAGCAGUGAAAUGCGUAGAGAUGUGGAGGAAUACCGAUGGCGAAGGCAGCCUCCUGGGAUAACACUGACGCUCAUGCACGAAAGCGUGGGGAGCAAACAGG
RNAcentral lists this ribosomal RNA (757 nucleotides) under Ralstonia solanacearum. Its description in RNAcentral is "bacterial SSU rRNA". It matches the Rfam family "Bacterial small subunit ribosomal RNA", at positions 28 to 776 of the family's 1533-position model. Lineage: Bacteria; Pseudomonadati; Pseudomonadota; Betaproteobacteria; Burkholderiales; Burkholderiaceae. The record is from RNAcentral.